RNAcentral lists this ribosomal RNA (500 nucleotides) under uncultured bacterium. Its description in RNAcentral is "partial 16S ribosomal RNA". It matches the Rfam family "Bacterial small subunit ribosomal RNA", at positions 30 to 523 of the family's 1533-position model. The record is from RNAcentral.
AUUGAACGCUGGCGGCAUGCUUUACACAUGCAAGUCGAACGGUAACAGGGUGCUUGCACCGCUGACGAGUGGCGAACGGGUGAGUAAUGCGUCGGAACGUGCCGAGUAGUGGGGGAUAACGCAGCGAAAGUUGUGCUAAUACCGCAUACGUACUGAGGUAGAAAGUGGGGGACCUUCGGGCCUCACGCUAUUCGAGCGGCCGACGUCUGAUUAGCUAGUAGGUGAGGUAAAGGCUCACCUAGGCGACGAUCAGUAGCGGGUCUGAGAGGAUGGUCCGCCACACUGGGACUGAGACACGGCCCAGACUCCUACGGGAGGCAGCAGUGGGGAAUUUUGGACAAUGGGCGAAAGCCUGAUCCAGCCAUGCCGCGUGUCUGAAGAAGGCCUUCGGGUUGUAAAGGACUUUUGUCAGGGAGGAAAUCCCUAGCGUUAAUACCGCUGGGGGAUGACAGUACCUGAAGAAUAAGCACCGGCUAACUACGUGCCAGCCGCCGCAGUAA